Molecule: ribosomal RNA, 497 nt
Filed under: uncultured bacterium
Lineage: Bacteria
Description: partial 16S ribosomal RNA
Rfam family: Bacterial small subunit ribosomal RNA
Source: RNAcentral
GAUGAACGCUGGCGGCGUGCCUAAUACAUGCAAGUCGAGCGAACAGACGAGGAGCUUGCUCCUCUGACGUUAGCGGCGGACGGGUGAGUAACACGUGGAUAACCUACCUAUAAGACUGGGAUAACUUCGGGAAACCGGAGCUAAUACUGGAUAAUAUAUUGAACCGCAUGGUUCAAUAGUGAAAGACGGUUUUGCUGUCACUUAUAGAUGGAUCCGCGCCGCAUUAGCUAGUUGGUAAGGUAACGGCUUACCAAGGCAACGAUGCGUAGCCGACCUGAGAGCGUGAUCGGCCACCCUGGAACUGAGACACGGUCCAGACUCCUACGGGAGGCAGCAGUAGGGAAUCUUCCGCAAUGGGCGAAAGCCUGACGGAGCAACGCCGCGUGAGUGAUGAAGGUCUUCGGAUCGUAAAACUCUGUUAUUAGGGAAGAACAAAUGUGUAAGUAACUAUGCACGUCUUGACGGUACCUAAUCAGAAAGCCACGGCUAACUACGUG